This 251-nucleotide ribosomal RNA is filed under the name uncultured bacterium. RNAcentral's name for it is "partial 16S ribosomal RNA". It matches the Rfam family "Bacterial small subunit ribosomal RNA", at positions 524 to 775 of the family's 1533-position model. The record is from RNAcentral.
UACGUAGGGUGCGAGCGUUAAUCGGAAUUCUGGGCGUAAAGCGUGCGCAGGCGGUUUUCCAAGACAGAUGUGAAAUCCCCGGGCUCAACCUGGGAAUGGCAUUUGUGACUGGAAGGCUAGAGUGUGUCAGAGGGGGGUAGAAUUCCACGUGUAGCAGUGAAAUGCGUAGAGAUGUGGAGGAAUACCGAUGGCGAAGGCAGCCCCCUGGGAUAACACUGACGCUCAUGCACGAAAGCGUGGGGAGCAAACAG